RNAcentral lists this long non-coding RNA (262 nucleotides) under Lathyrus oleraceus (garden pea). Its description in RNAcentral is "Pisum sativum (pea) long non-coding RNA (PSAT_LNC013335)". The record is from RNAcentral. Lineage: Eukaryota; Viridiplantae; Streptophyta; Magnoliopsida; Fabales; Fabaceae.
UUUUUUUGAGUGAAGGAAAUUCGGGGGAGAAUUUCAAUUUAAAGGGGGAGAGUGUAAUAUCCCAUAUUCCUUUAAAUGCUCAAUUAGUUAUCAGUUGGGACCAAUAGAGUAACCAAUUGACUCAGAAGAGAUCAAUCCUUAUUAAAAGAUACUGACCAUUAUUAAUUAAUACAAGAAAAAUCAUUUUGGUAACAUUAAUAAUUGGUACUAGAAGACAAAUCUCAAUUUAAGAUUUUUCCAUUUACCACCUUUUUAUUUGAAC